Molecule: long non-coding RNA, 250 nt
Filed under: Capsicum annuum
Lineage: Eukaryota; Viridiplantae; Streptophyta; Magnoliopsida; Solanales; Solanaceae
Description: long non-coding RNA (CANN_LNC014160)
Source: RNAcentral
GGGCAACUCCUAUUCAUAUACAACAUUAUCAACCCUCUUCUAGACUCAGUACAGUCCAAACUACCGGGGACUAAGAUUCCCCUUGUUUCCAUACCGCAUCACUCCCUUUAUACAAGAUACCUUUAAUAAUACCCUAUACCCAACCUCAAACUAUAACUUUCUACCAUUCAUAACUACAUACGACUUCUAGUGAAUUUGGGUGACUUUGAGCCUAUCCCAAAUCACCUUCACCUUCUUCAUGACUUGGUGA